AUUACCAUGAGCAAAUCAGAGUGUUUAAAGCAGGCUUUUAAGCUUGAAUGUGUUAGCAUGGAAUAAUGAAAUAUGACUUUAGUCCUAUUUUCGUUGGUUUAGGUACUAUAGUAAUGAUUAAUAGAAACGGUUGGGGGCAUUUGUAUUUGGCCGCUAGAGGUGAAAUUCUUGGAUUG
This 176-nucleotide ribosomal RNA is filed under the name Rhizopus microsporus. RNAcentral describes it as "partial 18S ribosomal RNA". It matches the Rfam family "Eukaryotic small subunit ribosomal RNA", at positions 751 to 927 of the family's 1831-position model. Lineage: Eukaryota; Fungi; Mucoromycota; Mucoromycetes; Mucorales; Rhizopodaceae. The record is from RNAcentral.